UACAGAGACUUCAAGCGUUAUCCGGUUUCACUGGGCGUAAAGCGUUCCGAUAGGUGGAUAAGUGUGUUUAUAGUUAAAGACCGAGGCUCAACCUCGUGUAUGCUAUGAAAACUGCUUAUCUAGAAGAGCAAAGAGGUAGCUGGAACUCUACAUGUAGGGGUAAAAUCCGUUGAUAUGUAGGGGAACACCGAAAGCGAAGGCAGGCUACUGGGUGCUUCUUGACACUGCUAGGACGAAAGCGUGGGGAGAGAAUGGG
RNAcentral lists this ribosomal RNA (256 nucleotides) under uncultured bacterium. RNAcentral's name for it is "partial 16S ribosomal RNA". It matches the Rfam family "Bacterial small subunit ribosomal RNA", at positions 524 to 776 of the family's 1533-position model. The record is from RNAcentral.